RNAcentral lists this ribosomal RNA (160 nucleotides) under uncultured bacterium. Its description in RNAcentral is "partial 16S ribosomal RNA". It matches the Rfam family "Bacterial small subunit ribosomal RNA", at positions 355 to 507 of the family's 1533-position model. The record is from RNAcentral.
UAGGGAAUCUUCCGCAAUGGGCGAAAGCCUGACGGAGCAACGCCGCGUGAGUGAUGAAGGUCUUCGGAUCGUAAAGCUCUGUUAUUAGGGAAGAACAUGUGCGUAAGUAACUGUGCGCAUCUUGACGGUACCUAAUCAGAAAGCCACGGCUAACUACGUG